RNAcentral lists this ribosomal RNA (263 nucleotides) under uncultured bacterium. RNAcentral describes it as "partial 16S ribosomal RNA". It matches the Rfam family "Bacterial small subunit ribosomal RNA", at positions 29 to 289 of the family's 1533-position model. The record is from RNAcentral.
AUUAACGCUAGCGGCAGGCAUAAUACAUGCAAGUUGAACGGCAGCACAGGUAGCAAUACCGGGUGGCGAGUGGCGCACGGGUGCGUGACACGUAUGCAACCUACCCUAUACAGGCGAAUAACCUUUAGAAAUGAGGGCUAAUACGCCGUGGUAUUAUCUUGGGGCAUCUUGAGAUAAUUAAAGAUUUAUCGGUAUAGGAUGGGCAUGCGUCCCAUUAGUUAGUUGGUAGGGUAACGGCCUACCAAGGCUAUGAUGGGUAGGGG